GACCUGGACCUACACCACAACCCUCCCCAAAUACCUGAAGACUCUUUCGUCAGUGUUUGUGAUACUACUCAUACCUCAAGCAGCAAAGUGGGCGGGGGGAUUAGUCCCUGCAAUCUUGUAUGGUCAACUCCUCGCUUCUGGUUCGUCAGUUCUCGGGUGGUGUGACUCCCCAGCAUACCGUAAUGCACUGAAGGUGUUACGAAAAUAUUCACCACUGAGUUAUGUCACGCCUUGGCGUGCUAGUCACCUCAAGAACCCUCUCCACGAUUUAAUUUCCUGUUCUUAUUCAGUCUCGUAGACUUUAUUGAAGACAAUUUGCAACGUUACUGGAGGUGGGGGCAUCAAUCUCGUGCUCGCGGUGUCAGUACAAGAAUGGAGAACAACGGAAUACCGUCUAAUGUGUCUAGACAACAUCUUGUUGUUAAUGAUGAACCUGUGGACAAUGUCAGUGGUGAUGGUAAACCAGUGGAGACCAUGGAGAACAGGAGAAUAUCCAGGCAGGAGUGGGUUACUGUUGCUGUGCUAUGUUUUGUUAAUUUGAUUAAUUACAUGGAUAGGACUACUAUUGCUGGUAUGUUAUCGAAUAUACAAGCGGAAUUUCACUUAGGUAACGACGAGUCAGGCCUCCUGCAGACAGCGUUUAUCAUCAGUUACAUGAUAUUCGCCCCCUUGUUCGGAUACUUGGGGGACAGAUACAAUAGAAAAAUCAUCAUGAGUGCUGGUGUAUUCCUGUGGUGUCUGACAACUCUAAUUGGAUCUUAUAUGAAGACUUACGAAUGGUUCCUGAUUUUCCGCAUGUGCGUGGGCAUUGGUGAGGCGAGUUAUUCGACGAUUGCCCCGACGAUAAUUAGUGAUUUAUUCGUCAAAGACGCACGCUCGAAGAUGCUGGCACUUUUUUACUUUGCAAUUCCAGUUGGUAGUGGUCUAGGUUACAUAACUGGUGGACAAGUGGCUGUUGCCACUGGUCAGUGGCAGUGGGGACUCAGGAUAACCCCAGCCCUUGGUCUCAUCGCCAUCGCCCUCAUCCUCUUCGGCGUCAGGGAUCCAGUCAGAGGGGAGAGAGAGGGAGGUUCGCACAUUGCAAGCACCACAUGGGGAAACGAUAUUCGUGCCCUCGUGAGAAAUCCAAGUUUUAUGCUUUCAACAGCUGGAUUCACCUGUGUGGCAUUUGUUGCUGGGGCUCUGGCCCUCUGGGCCCCAAAAUUUCUUGAGCUGGGGCUCAAAUUGCAGAAGGAAAAAACACUAGUUGUCGAUGAUGUUUCUUUCGUGUUCGGGGGCAUCGCCAUGCUGGCUGGUCUUAUUGGGGUCCCCCUGGGUUCCUUCAUGGCCCAGAGGAUGAGAAUAAAAUGGCAUCAGGCUGAUCCUCUAAUUUGUGGCAUUGGACUUCUCGUCAGUGCUCCCAUGAUUUUCUUCGCUAUUAUUACUUCCAGUGGAAAUUCCAUUGUAUGUUUUAUGCUGAUUUUCUUGGGGCAAUUAGCCUUGAACCUCAACUGGUCUAUCGUUGCUGAUAUGCUGCUGUAUGUUGUCAUUCCCACGAGAAGAUCUACGGCCGAGGCCUUCCAGAUUCUGGUGGCGCAUGCUCUGGGUGACGCUGGGAGCCCUUAUCUCAUUGGAGUGAUGUCAGAAGGACUAAGGCCUUAUCUCCUCGCUCCCGGUGAGCCAACUAAUGAUUACGUAGAUUUCAAAUGCCUUCAGUAUUCCCUAUUCCUGACAAUAUUCGUCGAGGUACUUGGGGCCCUCUUCUUCUUCCUCACAGCUCUUCAUAUUCAGAAGGAUAAGGCAUUGGUGGACCUCACAAUCGCCGUGCAUGAGUUGUUACCAAGUUUGGAGCUAGUGCCACUGAAAUUGGAAGGCUGAAGUUACUUGUUGAAUCUGUAAUCAAGUUCUCAAGAUGAUGUGGGUUGAAGUGUCGGGCAUCAUUAGUCGAUGUUAAUUGCAUUUUUAAUCGUUUUUUGGGAAGAGUGUCAAUUAAUUCUCUUUUUGUGGCAUAUAUAUGACUCUGAGUUUAAUAUGCAACCGGCUGAAUUAUGGGAAUUCUGACACAACUGCAGUUGGCACAUCUCUCAUCAGACCCGAGGACGCUAACAGGUAGUUACAAUAACGCACUACAGUGCAGCAAUCGAUUAACAACAGACUGAUCAAUUAAUUUUUUAAUGCGGCUCCAGUGUGCACAUUUUAUUUCAUUAUUUUUGUCUCGAAUUUUUGUGUUUCUCGUACUUUUUAGCUGAAAGCUUAGGAAAAUUGAAGCUUAUGAUUAAGUUAAUGGAUAAUUUUUGCCAUAUCUCGAAAACCAUAACUUGUGGAUAAUCAAUAAUGGGGCAAAACGGAUUCAUGACUAGUGGAUGGAAUGGAAAAUACUCCCACCCAUCGAUUGAGUCCAGGCGUCUACCUCUAGCACUGCCGGUUCUUGAGAUAUCGCAGAAAGAAUAUUUUUCUUGGCACCUAAAAAUUCUUGAUAAUAGUAGAAAUUCAGCUACUAUUAAAAAAAUAGUUUUCCGAUUAAUAAGUAAUGGUUAUUCUAGUAAACACCUGUGCUAGGCUGUGCAAUGGUAUCCAUUUAAAGUUAUUAGUAAUCAUUAUCAGUCGAAUAUAAUUGUUAAAAAUUGCUCAAUCGCUUGAACUUAUUUCAAGUGUUUUUGAAAAGAAGAAUUGAAAGAAAAAAGUAAUUGUAUGGUAUUGCUACUAUUUAAAUUAUAUUUUUUAUAAUGAUGCUGAUUAAUUGUUAUUCAUAUUCCUUAAUAAUAGUUAUAGAAACUUUUUUGUACAUUUUCGGCCCCAUUUUUUCCAUUUUCUUUUCUUCGCUUUUGAGGGGAAAAAAUGGAAAUAAAAUUUUAAGGGUCAUGCUUUUGGAAAUAAAUGAGUAAUGUUUA
Molecule: RNA transcript, 2870 nt
Organism: Diachasmimorpha longicaudata
Lineage: Eukaryota; Metazoa; Arthropoda; Insecta; Hymenoptera; Braconidae
Gene: spin
Gene name: spinster
Exons: 10
Source: RefSeq, a predicted model, not a curated record